AUUGAACGCUGGCGGCAGGCCUAACACAUGCAAGUCGAACGGUAACAGGAAGAAGCUUGCUUCUUUGCUGACGAGUGGCGGACGGGUGAGUAAUGUCUGGGAAACUGCCUGAUGGAGGGGGAUAACUACUGGAAACGGUAGCUAAUACCGCAUAACGUCGCAAGACCAAAGAGGGGGACCUUCGGGCCUCUCGCCAUCGGAUGUGCCCAGAUGGGAUUAGCUAGUAGGUGGGGUAACGGCUCACCUAGGCGACGAUCCCUAGCUGGUCUGAGAGGAUGACCAGCCACACUGGAACUGAGACACGGUCCAGACUCCUACGGGAGGCAGCAGUGGGGAAUAUUGCACAAUGGGCGCAAGCCUGAUGCAGCCAUGCCGCGUGUAUGAAGAAGGCCUUCGGGUUGUAAAGUACUUUCAGCGGGGAGGAAGGGAGUAAAGUUAAUACCUUGGCUCAUUGACGUUACCCGCAGAAGAAGCACCGGCUAACUCCGUG
This 490-nucleotide ribosomal RNA is filed under the name uncultured bacterium. Its description in RNAcentral is "partial 16S ribosomal RNA". It matches the Rfam family "Bacterial small subunit ribosomal RNA", at positions 30 to 507 of the family's 1533-position model. The record is from RNAcentral.